Molecule: long non-coding RNA, 719 nt
Organism: Cicer arietinum (chickpea)
Lineage: Eukaryota; Viridiplantae; Streptophyta; Magnoliopsida; Fabales; Fabaceae
Source: RefSeq, a predicted model, not a curated record
UCCUCCUCUCUUUCAAUAAUAACUUUUGCACCUUAGCAGAUAAAGUGGGCCACAACACCUUAGCAAUAACGCAUAAAAUUAAGGCAGUGUUAAAGGGGAAAAGAACAUUGAAUACAGGAGUCAACAAAUCAUGGUUGUUAUGGUUGUUGGUUUAGACCCACACAGAAGAGUAAAGGAAGAAGAGUUAGCAGAGACCUUGCUUGAUUUGAUCUCUAUCAUCAUCUGACUUUGAUGCACUUGAAUUUAAUUGAUUACAAGGUGGGGUGCCCAUCAAUCGGGCCAAUGCUUUGACAGAGACAUUCAACGUUUUUCUUGUAUUCAGGAAUGCAGUCUUGCUCGGCUAUUUACGUGGGUAGUGUGAUUGCACCCACUAUUAAGUGGUGAUAUAGUGUUUACUUAGAAGAGUUCUCAGCUCUGUGAAAGCGUCAAGUUAGACACUACCCGACAUCAACUGGUUUGAUCAUACCAGAUUUAAAUCAACCUCAACCAGUUAUGGCUCCUCCUUCGACUAGUGGUGGUGUAGUUGAAGAUGAAAUCCAAUUUCAAACUAUGAUGUCUCCAACAACACAAAUUAAUAAUACUUUUGAGGGACUUCUGUCGUCGGGUAACAUCCAGCAAAUAAUGAUGGAGGGAGUGGAGCGAUUGAUCAGAGGAAUUAUUUCGAUGAUUAAUGAUGUACUUGAAUAAUUUCUUAAUUUUAUUUUUAGUUUGUAUGAACA